RNAcentral lists this transfer RNA (67 nucleotides) under bovine gut metagenome. It matches the Rfam family "tRNA". From Rfam's summary of the family: Transfer RNA (tRNA) molecules are approximately 80 nucleotides in length. Their secondary structure includes four short double-helical elements and three loops (D, anti-codon, and T loops). The record is from RNAcentral.
CGGGUGUAGUUCAGUGGUAGAAUAUCAGCCUUCCAAGCUGACUAUGCGGGUUCGAUUCCCGUCACCC